Molecule: non-coding RNA, 755 nt
Filed under: Mileewa lamellata
Lineage: Eukaryota; Metazoa; Arthropoda; Insecta; Hemiptera; Cicadellidae
Source: RNAcentral
UAGAGUUUGAUUCUUGCUUAUUUAUUAAUUUAUUAAAUGUUUUUAUAUGUAUUUUUUUUAUGAAUUAUUAAAUUAGCAGUAAUUAAUUUUAGAUAAAAAUUUUUGGUUUUUUUUAGUAAUUUAAUUAAGAUAGAUAAAUAUUGUGCCAGCAUUCGCGGUUAAACAGUAUAUUUAAUUUAAUAAUUUUGGUUUAUUACAAUUUUUAAUUUUAAAAGAUUUUAAGUUAAAUUUAUUAAGGUGGAAUAUUUAUAAGUUUAAUAGUUUCUUUGUUUUAAUUUUGUGAAAUCUUUAUUUUAAACUAGGAUUAGAUACCCUAUUAUUUAAGAUUUAAAUUAAUUCCUGAAUAUUAAUAGUUAUGUUCUUUAAAACUCAAAGAAUUUGGCGGUAAUUUAUUUCUUUUUAGAGGAACCUGUAUUAUAAUUGAUAAACCACGAUAGGAAAAACCUUUAUUUUAUUUGUAUAUCUCUAUAUUUAAGAAUAUUUUUAUAGGAAUUAUUUUCUUUUUCUUUUACUAAGAUAAAUAUUAGGUCAAGGUGCAGUUUUAUAAAGGUAAAUAUGGGUUACAUUAUUUGUUUUUAUAUUUGAAUUUAUAAAAAAUUUUUUUAAUGAAAUAGGAUUUAAUAGUAAUUUUAAUAAAUUAAUUAUUUUGAAUAAAGUUCUAUAUUAUGUACAUAUCGCCCGUCACUCCUAAUUUAUAUUAGGAUAAGUCGUAACAUAGUAGUUGUACCGGAAGGUGUAGCUAGAAUUAAAAUUUA